UGGGGAAUUUUGGACAAUGGGCGAAAGCCUGAUCCAGCAAUGCCGCGUGUGUGAAGAAGGCCUUCGGGUUGUAAAGCACUUUUGUCCGGAAAGAAAUCCUUGGCUCUAAUACAGUCGGGGGAUGACGGUACCGGAAGAAUAAGCACCGGCUAACUACGUGCCAGCAGCCGCGGUAAUACGUAGGGUGCAAGCGUUAAUCGGAAUUACUGGGCGUAAAGCGUGCGCAGGCGGUUUGCUAAGACCGAUGUGAAAUCCCCGGGCUCAACCUGGGAACUGCAUUGGUGACUGGCAGGCUAGAGUAUGGCAGAGGGGGGUAGAAUUCCACGUGUAGCAGUGAAAUGCGUAGAGAUGUGGAGGAAUACCGAUGGCGAAGGCAGCCCCCUGGGCCAAUACUGACGCUCAUGCACGAAAGCGUGGGGAGCAAACAGGAUUAGAUACCUGUGNGCGCCACCCUAAAACGAUGUCAACUAGUUGUUGGGGAUUCAUUUCCUUAGUAACGUAGCUAACGCGUGAAGUUGACCGCCUGGGGAGUACGGUCGCAAGAUUAAAACUCAAAUGAAUUGACGGGGUCAUAGCUGUUUCCU
RNAcentral lists this ribosomal RNA (584 nucleotides) under uncultured bacterium. RNAcentral describes it as "partial 16S ribosomal RNA". It matches the Rfam family "Bacterial small subunit ribosomal RNA", at positions 355 to 1375 of the family's 1533-position model. The record is from RNAcentral.